GUAUGACACAGAAUGCUGGAGAUACAAUGGUGAACAAGACAGAAGAGGUGCCUACCUUCAGGGAAUUCCAGUGAGGAAGACGGCAGUGAUGAAGAUCUUUUCAACUGUUUUAUAGGAAGGGAGGAAGAAUAGCAUACGGGACAUGGAUGAAUCUGGAGAACAUCAUCCUCAGCAAACUGACACAAGAACAGAAAAUGAAACACCGCAUAUUCUCACUCAUAGAGCUUCAUAAUUCUAGGACCUCAGCAAUGAAUUACAGGUGUGCCAGAGGUGUGGCUGAUCUGCCGGAUUUGGCAGGAUCCAGGUGCCAGAGCUCCUGGGAUGUCUGCCUCCUCUCUGUGCUGCUUGAGCAAAUCCAGC
Molecule: long non-coding RNA, 360 nt
Filed under: Callithrix jacchus (white-tufted-ear marmoset)
Lineage: Eukaryota; Metazoa; Chordata; Mammalia; Primates; Cebidae
Description: lncRNA (ENSCJAG00000070712.1)
Source: RNAcentral